Molecule: ribosomal RNA, 550 nt
Filed under: uncultured archaeon
Lineage: Archaea
Description: bacterial SSU rRNA
Rfam family: Archaeal small subunit ribosomal RNA
Source: RNAcentral
GGUGCAGCAGGCGCGAAAACUCUACAAUGCAGGCAACUGCGAUAGGGGAACAUCGAGUGAUCCUCAUAUUGGGGGUCUGUCCCACCGUCUAAAAAACGGUGGUUAGCAAGGGCCGGGCAAGACCGGUGCCAGCCGCCGCGGUAAUACCGGCGGCUCGAGUGGUGGCCGAUAUUAUUGAGUCUAAAGGGUCCGUAGCCGGCUUUGCAAGUCUCUCGGGAAAUCCAGCGGCUUAACCGUUGGUCGUCCGGGGGGUACUACAUUGCUUGGGACUGGGAGAGGUAGGAGGUACUCAGGGGGUAGGAGUGAAAUCCUGUAAUCCUCUGGGGACCACCGGUGGCGAAGGCGUCCUACCAGAACAGGUCCGACGGUGAGGGACGAAAGCUAGGGGCACGAACCGGAUUAGAUACCCGGGUAGUCCUAGCCGUAAACGAUGCUCGCUAGGUGUCACAACAGUCGUGAACUGUUGUGGUGCCGUAGGGAAGCCGUGAAGCGAGCCACUUGGGAAGUACGACCGCAAGGUUGAAACUUAAAGGAAUUGGCGGGGGAGCAC